CAGGGAGACAACAAAAUGUUUAAUAUUAUUAUUUUGUCACCUUAGGUCGAUCGGUAUCUCGCGUUCUUAAUUAAUUAAGAAUUUCAUUUCCUAAGUUUUUCUAGGUCACACCCAUAUUUUUCCUGGGCCAUUAGCUCAGGUGGUUAGAGCGCACCCCUGAUAAGGGUGAGGUCCCUGGUUCAAGUCCAGGAUGGCCCAUAUCUCUAUGUUGGGGGUAUAGCUCAGUUGGUAGCGCCUGCUUUGCAAGCAGGAUGUCAGCGGUUCGAGUCCGCUUACCUCCACUGAUUACCACCUCUUCCAUAAUCUGUAAAAGGAAAAUUUUUGAGUUGUGAUCAUCCUGAACGAAUCUAGCUUCCUAAUGAAAUCAUUAAGAUGCUGGACUCAUUGAAUUAAUUUCAUUGUUUUCAGAGAACCUUGACAACUGCAUAGAUUAUUUUUAAAGACAAUAAGCAUCUUUAAUGAUGCAGAUUUAUUAUUUGUGCAAAUGCAUUAAUAACAAUUCUAUUAAGCUGAUGCUUCA
This 520-nucleotide transfer RNA is filed under the name uncultured Prochlorococcus sp. Its description in RNAcentral is "partial 16S-23S ribosomal RNA intergenic spacer". The stretch from base 125 to 198 matches the Rfam family "tRNA". The record is from RNAcentral. Lineage: Bacteria; Bacillati; Cyanobacteriota; Cyanophyceae; Synechococcales; Prochlorococcaceae.